AACGAACGCUGGCGGCAGGCUUAACACAUGCAAGUCGAACGCAUCCUUCGGGGGUGAGUGGCAGACGGGUGAGUAACACGUGGGAACGUACCUUUCGGUUCGGGAUAACCCAGGGAAACUUGGGCUAAUACCGGAUACGUCCUUAGGGAGAAAGAUUGACUGCCGAAAGAUCGGCCCGCGUCUGAUUAGCUAGUUGGUGAGGUAACGGCUCACCAAGGCGACGAUCAGUAGCUGGUCUGAGAGGAUGAUCAGCCUCACUGGGACUGAGACACGGCCCAGACUCCUACGGGAGGCAGCAGUGGGGAAUAUUGGACAAUGGGCGCAAGCCUGAUCCAGCCAUGCCGCGUGGAUGAUGAAGGCCCUAGGGUUGUAAAGUCCUUUCGACGGGAAGAUAAUGACGGUACCCGUAGAAGAAGCCCCGCUAACUUCGUGCCAGCAGCCGCCGUAAG
This 449-nucleotide ribosomal RNA is filed under the name uncultured bacterium. Its description in RNAcentral is "bacterial SSU rRNA". It matches the Rfam family "Bacterial small subunit ribosomal RNA", at positions 29 to 524 of the family's 1533-position model. The record is from RNAcentral.